AUCGUCCCGAGCGCGACCUCAGGUCAGGCGGGGCUACCCGCUGAGUUUAAGCAUAUCAAUAAGCGGAGGAAAAGAAACUAACGAGGAUUCCCCUAGUAACGGCGAGCGAACCGGGAAGAGCCCAGCAUGAGAAUCGGUCGCCCCUGGCGUCUGAAUUGUAGUCUGGAGAAGCGUCCUCAGUGGCGGACCGGGCCGAAGUCCCCUGGAAGGUGGCGCCAGAGAGGGUGAGAGCCCCGUUGUGCCCGGACCCUGUCGCACCACGAGGCGCUGUUUGCGAGUCGGUUGUUUGGGAAUGCAAGCCCUAAUCGGGCGGUAAAUUCCGUUCCAAGGCUAAAUACUGGCGUGAGACCGAUAGCGAAAAGUACCGCGAGGGAAAGAAGAAAAGGACUUUGAAAAGAGAGUCAAAGAGUGCUUGAAAUUGUCGGGAGGGAAGCGGAUGGGGGCCGGCGAUGCGCCCCGGUCGGAUGUGGAACGGCGACGCUGGUCCGCCAAUCGACUCGGGGCGUCGACCGACGCGGAUUGCAACGGUGGCCCAAGCCCGGGCCGUCGAUAGGCCCGCUGGAUACGUCAUCGUUGCGAUUGUGGAAGGCAGCGCGCGCCCGCUGGCGUGCUUCGGCACCUGCGCGCUCCGGGCGUCGGCCUGUGGGCUCCCCAUUCGGCCCGUCUUGAAACACGGACCAAGGAGUCUGACAUGUGUGCGAGUCAACGGGUGAAUAAACCCGCGGGGCGCAAGUAAGCUAAUUGGCGGGAUCC
RNAcentral lists this ribosomal RNA (753 nucleotides) under Arachis hypogaea (peanut). RNAcentral's name for it is "eukaryotic LSU rRNA". It matches the Rfam family "Eukaryotic large subunit ribosomal RNA", at positions 1 to 743 of the family's 3401-position model. The record is from RNAcentral. Lineage: Eukaryota; Viridiplantae; Streptophyta; Magnoliopsida; Fabales; Fabaceae.